RNAcentral lists this ribosomal RNA (668 nucleotides) under uncultured bacterium. RNAcentral's name for it is "bacterial SSU rRNA". It matches the Rfam family "Bacterial small subunit ribosomal RNA", at positions 1 to 641 of the family's 1533-position model. The record is from RNAcentral.
GCGCGGGAAUUCGAUUAAUUCGUCGACAACAGAGUUUGAUCCAGUCUCAUAUUGAACGCUGGCGGCAGGCCUAACACAUGCAAGUCGAGCGGAUGAUGGGAGCUUGCUCCCGGAUUCAGCGGCGGACGGGUGAGUAAUGCCUAGGAAUCUGCCUGGUAGUGGGGGACAACGUUUCGAAAGGAACGCUAAUACCGCAUACGUCCUACGGGAGAAAGCAGGGGACCUUCGGGCCUUGCGCUAUCAGAUGAGCCUAGGUCGGAUUAGCUAGUUGGUGGGGUAAAGGCCUACCAAGGCGACGAUCCGUAACUGGUCUGAGAGGAUGAUCAGUCACACUGGAACUGAGACACGGUCCAGACUCCUACGGGAGGCAGCAGUGGGGAAUAUUGGACAAUGGGCGAAAGCCUGAUCCAGCCAUGCCGCGUGUGUGAAGAAGGUCUUCGGAUUGUAAAGCACUUUAAGUUGGGAGGAAGGGCAGUAAGUUAAUACCUUGCUGUUUUGACGUUACCAACAGAAUAAGCACCGGCUAACUUCGUGCCAGCAGCCGCGGUAAUACGAAGGGUGCAAGCGUUAAUCGGAAUUACUGGGCGUAAAGCGCGCGUAGGUGGUUUGGUAAGAUGGAUGUGAAAUCCCCGGGCUCCACCUGGGAACUGCAUCCAUAACUGCCUGAC